RNAcentral lists this long non-coding RNA (994 nucleotides) under Bemisia tabaci. Its description in RNAcentral is "lncRNA ENSSSA1NGG010837". The record is from RNAcentral. Lineage: Eukaryota; Metazoa; Arthropoda; Insecta; Hemiptera; Aleyrodidae.
GGAGCAAAUACAUUGACAGGGUUGCCGUGAUUUCAGUUUUAGAGUCCCCAAACAAAGUGGCAGCCCUGUCAAUGUAUUUGCUCCCUAUCUUUGCAUGGAGAGUUUGUCUUGAUGUAGAGGUGGACUCUCAGGAUAGCGUGGGAUAUCCCCUCCAUUUUCGCCUCGACUUGAGAGCUUUUUUGAGCUUGGGAGUUGAUUUCAGAGAAAACCAGUAGCACCAUCGUGUUUCUCGCGAACUUUUACAUAAGAAUUUAAGAAUCAACAGUCAAAUCGCAAAUUCCUCACACAUGCAACAUAUCCAUUAUUGACUAUUUGCCUGAAAAAGUACAGAUUCCUCCUCUGGCCUUCCUCUAGAGUUUUAUCAUUCCAUUCAAUAAUUAGUUUAUUUUUCUAUUUUUCCAGAAACCUGUGCUGUGAGCUACAACCCCGAUGCAAGAGUUCACCACGGCUCCGUGACGGAUAGCCUAAGGAGCGCGCUCUCCCGGCUGCGUCAGCGGACUGCCAAUUCCGGUUCCGGGGACUCCUCCCCAGAUGCCUCUCCAACGCACACACUUACGGUAAGUCUACGACCAUUCACACACUCACACGUCCAUCUAUUCCUCCAGCCAAUCCGCCGUCUGAAAAUGUCGGAGGGUAUGGAUUCGUUCGACAUGAAUCGAUCGAAAAAUGAAAACGUAAAUCGAUCAACACCGAUUCGAUCGACUCACGGGUUUGUCGAUCGAUUCACGGGUUUGUCGAUCGAUUCACGGUUGUCGAUUGAAUCGGUGUCGAUCGAUUUACGUUUUUAUUUUUCGAUCCAUUCAUGUCGAUCGAAUCGACACCGGUGUUUUUAAAUUAACUGUCAAUCGAAUCGGUGUCGAUCGAAUCCAUACCCUCCUAAAAUAUCUAUGUAUUUAGCCUCUGAAACCGGGACCGCAUGUGACGUAUAUUGUAACAGAAACAUUUUGGUCUCGGAACGGGGGUGCAAACUUGGGUUCUAAGGCCAACAUCUGUG